This 481-nucleotide ribosomal RNA is filed under the name uncultured bacterium. RNAcentral describes it as "partial 16S ribosomal RNA". It matches the Rfam family "Bacterial small subunit ribosomal RNA", at positions 30 to 507 of the family's 1533-position model. The record is from RNAcentral.
AUUGAACGCUGGCGGCAUGCUUUACACAUGCAAGUCGAACGGUAACAGGCGCAAGGUGCUGACGAGUGGCGAACGGGUGAGUAAUGCAUCGGAACGUGCCCAGUCGUGGGGGAUAACUACUCGAAAGAGUAGCUAAUACCGCAUACGAUCUAUGGAUGAAAGCGGGGGACCGUAAGGCCUCGCGCGAUUGGAGCGGCCGAUGUCAGAUUAGGUAGUUGGUGGGGUAAAGGCUCACCAAGCCAACGAUCUGUAGCUGGUCUGAGAGGACGACCAGCCACACUGGGACUGAGACACGGCCCAGACUCCUACGGGAGGCAGCAGUGGGGAAUUUUGGACAAUGGGCGCAAGCCUGAUCCAGCAAUGCCGCGUGCAGGAAGAAGGCCUUCGGGUUGUAAACUGCUUUUGUACGGAACGAAACGGCUCUGGUUAAUACCCGGGGCUAAUGACGGUACCGUAAGAAUAAGCACCGGCUAACUACGUG